GACGAACGCUGGCGGCGUGCUUAACACAUGCAAGUCGAACGGAAAGGCCCUGCUUUUGUGGGGUGCUCGAGUGGCGAACGGGUGAGUAACACGUGAGUAACCUGCCCUUGACUUUGGGAUAACUUCAGGAAACUGGGGCUAAUACCGGAUAGGAGCUCCUGCUGCAUGGUGGGGGUUGGAAAGUUUCGGCGGUUGGGGAUGGACUCGCGGCUUAUCAGCUUGUUGGUGGGGUAGUGGCUUACCAAGGCUUUGACGGGUAGCCGGCCUGAGAGGUUGACCGGCCACAUUGGGACUGCGAUACGGCCCAGACUCCUACGGGAGGCAGCAGUGGGGAAUAUUGCACAAUGGGCGGAAGCCUGAUGCAGCAACGCCGCGUGCGGGAUGACGGCCUUCGGGUUGUAAACCGCUUUCGCCUGUGACGAAGCGUGAGUGACGGUAAUGGGUAAAGAAGCACCGGCUAACUACGUG
Molecule: ribosomal RNA, 468 nt
Filed under: uncultured bacterium
Lineage: Bacteria
Description: partial 16S ribosomal RNA
Rfam family: Bacterial small subunit ribosomal RNA
Source: RNAcentral